This 698-nucleotide ribosomal RNA is filed under the name Shigella sonnei. RNAcentral describes it as "partial 23S ribosomal RNA". It matches the Rfam family "Bacterial large subunit ribosomal RNA", at positions 2211 to 2903 of the family's 2925-position model. The record is from RNAcentral. Lineage: Bacteria; Pseudomonadati; Pseudomonadota; Gammaproteobacteria; Enterobacterales; Enterobacteriaceae.
UGUUUGAUGUUCUAACGUGGACCCGUGAUCCGGGUUGCGGACAGUGUCUGGUGGGUAGUUUGACUGGGGCGGUCUCCUCCUAAAGAGUAACGGAGGAGCACGAAGGUUGGCUAAUCCUGGUCGGACAUCAGGAGGUUAGUGCAAUGGCAUAAGCCAGCUUGACUGCGAGCGUGACGGCGCGAGCAGGUGCGAAAGCAGGUCAUAGUGAUCCGGUGGUUCUGAAUGGAAGGGCCAUCGCUCAACGGAUAAAAGGUACUCCGGGGAUAACAGGCUGAUACCGCCCAAGAGUUCAUAUCGACGGCGGUGUUUGGCACCUCGAUGUCGGCUCAUCACAUCCUGGGGCUGAAGUAGGUCCCAAGGGUAUGGCUGUUCGCCAUUUAAAGUGGUACGCGAGCUGGGUUUAGAACGUCGUGAGACAGUUCGGUCCCUAUCUGCCGUGGGCGCUGGAGAACUGAGGGGGGCUGCUCCUAGUACGAGAGGACCGGAGUGGACGCAUCACUGGUGUUCGGGUUGUCAUGCCAAUGGCACUGCCCGGUAGCUAAAUGCGGAAGAGAUAAGUGCUGAAAGCAUCUAAGCACGAAACUUGCCCCGAGAUGAGUUCUCCCUGACCCUUUAAGGGUCCUGAAGGAACGUUGAAGACGACGACGUUGAUAGGCCGGGUGUGUAAGCGCAGCGAUGCGUUGAGCUAACCGGUACUA